GAUGAACGCUGGCGGCGUGCCUAAUACAUGCAAGUCGAGCGAACAGACGAGGAGCUUGCUCCUCUGACGUUAGCGGCGGACGGGUGAGUAACACGUGGAUAACCUACCUAUAAGACUGGGAUAACUUCGGGAAACCGGAGCUAAUACCGGAUAAUAUAUUGAACCGCAUGGUUCAAUAGUGAAAGACGGUUUUGCUGUCACUUAUAGAUGGAUCCGCGCCGCAUUAGCUAGUUGGUAAGGUAACGGCUUACCAAGGCAACGAUGCGUAGCCGACCUGAGAGGGUGAUCGGCCACACUGGAACUGAGACACGGUCCAGACUCCUACGGGAGGCAGCAGUAGGGAAUCUUCCGCAAUGGGCGAAAGCCUGACGGAGCGACGCCGCGUGAGCGAUGAAGGUCUUCGGAUCGUAAAACUCUGUUAUUAGGGAAGAACAAAUGUGUAAGUAACUAUGCACGUCUUGACGGUACCUAAUCAGAAAGCCACGGCUAACUACGUG
Molecule: ribosomal RNA, 497 nt
Filed under: uncultured bacterium
Lineage: Bacteria
Description: partial 16S ribosomal RNA
Rfam family: Bacterial small subunit ribosomal RNA
Source: RNAcentral